Molecule: non-coding RNA, 119 nt
Submitted as: unclassified sequences
Source: Rfam
UUCGGUACUUAAGUACCGAAUACAAGCGUGCGGGGAGCUAUUCCGACAGCGAGCCGCAUAAGUCCUGUAUGCACCUGGGCCACACUAACGGCAGGGUGCCGAUUACACAAUACAAGGAG